AAACCCUUUCGACGAGUCGAGUUGUUUGGGAAUGCUGCUCUAAACGGGUGGUAAAUUUCAUCUAAAGCAAAUACCUGCCAGAGACCGAUAGCGCACAAGUAGAGUGAUCGAAAGAUGAAAAGCACUUUGAAAAGAGAGUCAAACAGUACGUGAAAUUUUGAAAGGGUUUAAAAUGCAAUCAGACUCGUUUGCAGAAGCUCAGCUUUCCUACGGGAUGGUGUAUUCUUCUGUCAACGG
Molecule: ribosomal RNA, 237 nt
Filed under: Graphis scripta
Lineage: Eukaryota; Fungi; Ascomycota; Lecanoromycetes; Ostropales; Graphidaceae
Description: partial large subunit ribosomal RNA
Rfam family: Eukaryotic large subunit ribosomal RNA
Source: RNAcentral